Molecule: long non-coding RNA, 1868 nt
Organism: Oryzias melastigma (Indian medaka)
Lineage: Eukaryota; Metazoa; Chordata; Actinopteri; Beloniformes; Adrianichthyidae
Exons: 2
Source: RefSeq, a predicted model, not a curated record
ACAAGUCUGUUUUGUUCUUAACGCCUCGUUUACACGGACCGAAUAAAUCCUCCUCUGCUGAGCGAUCGCAGCGUGACCAGGCGAAGGCAUUCACGCCGCACAAAAUGUUCCGCGUGUUUCCGUUAUUGUUUUCCGCGGCGGGUGGAUGUUUGUGUGCCGGAGUAGCAAAUAGCCCAAGUGCUGGAGGCGGAAAAACAAAGUUCAUGUCCCUGCGCUGCGGCGGUGCAGGUCGACCUCAUCUGUUGUUAUGGUAACUCCUGUGAUGAGGGCAGGUUGGCUCACGGGGGCCCAGAGGCCAGCCAUGGUUCCCCGCGAGCUGCUGUUAGGCAAGCAACUCUGGCGAAAUUGGAGCUGUCAUUUCCCCAGGAAAAUUGCUCACAGGCACUUGAGCUCUCUCCUGACCCAAAGCUAAUUUGUAAAUUUUCUUUCGGACAAACUUUUCAGCUUCCCUUUUUUUUCCCCUCUCAAUCAUUUUUCUUCCCGAGUCACGUCCUUCUGCCCUGACUGACAGGUGCUAAAUCAUUUGUCUUAGAGCAACCCCUUUGUCCACAAAUAGAAUGAGGCCAAGGCUCUAACCCAUCUAACACAUGGACUUUGUGGGAUUGGAAAACACACACCGGUUCAUAGACAUGCAGGUGAAGUCGUGCACAGCAGGUACCAGCCAGAACCCAUCAGACACAAGCAUGUUUGUGCACAAAACCUAAAUAUUUGUAUGAGCAGUAAAGGAAUCAGUGCCGAGUUAAUAAGUCUGCAUUGAUUUCUUUAUUUUUUUCCCCUCUGUCUAGUUUCUGCAGCCAUCGAUUUUCACCAGGGAAGCCGAAAGCAGAAAGGAGGGUGAUUGGCAUUUGAGAACGUCUAUGUUAAGGAGAAACUGUUUUUUUUUAUUUUUUUUUUUUAUGGUACUGGAAUGUGUGUGUUUGUGCGUCUUGCUGUCAGACUGCCUGGAGCACCCUCUGGGCAGCAGCAGCACUCCGCCGCCGCUCCCACAGGAACAUUUAAACUAAAAACCCUCCAUCCGUCUCCUCGUUCUCAGAAAAAAAACAUGAUAGAUGUUUGCUUUUAGGACUUCGCACAUGACAAAGCGCUGCGCUGAAUGGAAACUGUUGCUCCUAAUGUACACAGGCUGAAGGAAAAAAACAAAAGUCACUCAUGUGAGGGAGCUCAGGAACUGAUGCUGAGCCUCACAAGCUGUACAGCAGCAGCAGCACUUACUCCAACUCUAAUUGGAGUGGAACAGAGGAACUGAAAUGCCGCGCCUCCUUAUGUCUGCAAAAGAGAAAUCGCAGGAAUUUCUGCAAGACAAUUUGAUUUGCAGUUGACAAUUGAGAACUAAAAGCACAAUGGCAUCCACACUGUGGCAUAAUCAAUGUCCAUUUUCUCGCACAAGAUUUAUUUUUCUGCCGCCGCCGCUCUGACAGGCUGAUUGCAACAUCACGUUGUUAUUACUCAAAGCUUAAAAGGAGAUUUGAAACCUCAUUUGAGCUUUUUUUCUGUUCUUGUAGGAAAGUCUCUGAUAUUUAUUAGGUAUUUUAUUUUGAAAGACGCUUAUUGACGUAAUUUCCUUUUGAGUAAGUUUCUGUUUUGAGACUGCACCCCCACUUAUGUUGCUGCUGCCGUGUGCGUUAAUAAGCCAAAACCACACGCCACAAACGCACAUGUAUCCAUUCAACUCUUGGAAUUAAAAAGUUCGCUGGAAACUGGACUCUCUGUGCCCUACUCUCUGACCGGAGCUCAGUCGAAGGGGGCUAUAAGACCGGCAUUCCCCUUUAGAGUGUUCCCACUCUGUCACAGUUCUUAUUCCCUGCUUUCUUUUUACUGAAGCCAGCGAUUUAUCUCUGUGAUGACAGAACAGCAACGGUGCAAAAAAA